GACGAACGCUGGCGGCGUGCUUAACACAUGCAAGUCGAACGGAAAGGCCCUGCUUUUGUGGGGUGCUCGAGUGGCGAACGGGUGAGUAACACGUGAGUAACCUGCCCUUGACUUUGGGAUAACUUCAGGAAACUGGGGCUAAUACCGGAUAGGAGCUCCUGCUGCAUGGUGGGGGUUGGAAAGUUUCGGCGGUUGGGGAUGGACUCGCGGCUUAUCAGCUUGUUGGUGGGGUAGUGGCUUACCAAGGCAUUGACGGGUAGCCGGCCUGAGAGGGUGACCGGCCACAUUGGGACUGUGAUACGGCCCAGACUCCUACGGGAGACAGCAGUGGGGAAUAUUGCACAAUGGGCGGAAGCCUGAUGCAGCAACGCCGCGUGCGGGAUGACGGCCUUCGGGUUGUAAACCGCUUUCGCCUGUGACGAAGCGUGAGUGACGGUAAUGGGUAAAGAAGCACCGGCUAACUACGUG
This 468-nucleotide ribosomal RNA is filed under the name uncultured bacterium. RNAcentral describes it as "partial 16S ribosomal RNA". It matches the Rfam family "Bacterial small subunit ribosomal RNA", at positions 28 to 507 of the family's 1533-position model. The record is from RNAcentral.